AAAGUGUGUAGGUGGAUCCCUUAGGCAAAUCCGGGGGGUUAACACCAAGGCACGGGACCAGGACUCUUUGAGUCUGAAGCUGCUGAUACCACGCUCCCAGGAAAAGCCUCUAAGCUUCAGUUACACGGGACCGUACCGUAAUCGGACACACGUGGGCAGGAUGAAAAUUCUAAGGCGCUUGAGAGAACCCAGGAGAAGGAACUCGGCAAAUUGACACCGUAACUUCGGAAGAAGGUGUGCCCUGGUAGGUUGUAGCCGUACAGGCGAAGGCCGAAGGGGUUGCAAAAAAUCGGUGGCUGCGACUGUUUAAUAAAAACACAGCACUCUGCAAAGAUGAUGAAUCGACGUAUAGGGUGUGACGCCUGCCCGGUGCCGGAAGGUUAAAUGAUGGGGUGCAAGCUCUUGAUUGAAGCCCCGGUAAACGGCGGCCGUAACAAUAACGGUCCUAAGGUAGCGAAAUUCCUUGUCGGGUAAGUUCCGACCUGCACGAAUGGCGUAACGAUGGCCACACUGUCUCCUCCUGAGACUCAGCGAAGUUGAAGUGUUUGUGAUGAUGCAAUCUACCCGCGGCUAGACGGAAAGACCCCGUGCACCUUUACUGUAGCUUUGCAUUGGACUGUGAUGGGAUCUGUGUAGGAUAGGUGGGAGCCUGUGAAGCGGUGGCGCUAGCCAUCGUGGAGGCAACGUUGAAAUACCACCCUGAUGUCAUUGCGGUUCUAACCUUGGCCCCUAUAGCGGGGUUGGGGACAGUGCAUGGUAGGCAGUUUGACUGGGGCGGUCUCCUCCCAAAGAGUAACGGAGGAGCUCGAAGGUACGCUAGGUACGGUCGGACAUCGUGCUGAUAGUGCAAUGGCACAAGCGUGCUUGACUGCGAGACUGACAAGUCGAGCAGGUGCGAAAGCAGGACAUAGUGAUCCGGUGGUUCUGAAUGGAAGGGCCAUCGCUCAACGGAUAAAAGGUACGCCGGGGAUAACAGGCUGAUUCCUCCCAAGAGUUCAUAUCGACGGGGGAGUUUGGCACCUCGAUGUCGGCUCAUCACAUCCUGGGGCUGUAGCCGGUCCCAAGGGUAUGGCUGUUCGCCAUUUAAAGUGGUACGUGAGCUGGGUUUAAAACGUCGUGAGACAGUUUGGUCCCUAUCUGCCGUGGGCGUUGGACGUUUGAGGGGGGCUGCUCCUAGUACGAGAGGACCGGAGUGGACGAACCUCUGGUGUACCGGUUAUCACGCCAGUGGUAUUGCCGGGUAGCUAAGUUCGGGAGAGAUAAGCGCUGAAAGCAUCUAAGUGCGAAACUUGCCCCAAGAUGAGACGUCCCUGGAGGUUAACUCCACUAAAGGGUCGCGGAAGACCACCGCGUUGAUAGGUCGGGUGUGGAAGCGCAGUAAUGCGUUAAGCUAACCGAUACUAAUUGCCCGUGCGGCUUGAUCCC
This 1425-nucleotide ribosomal RNA is filed under the name metagenome. Its description in RNAcentral is "bacterial LSU rRNA". It matches the Rfam family "Bacterial large subunit ribosomal RNA", at positions 1513 to 2925 of the family's 2925-position model. The record is from RNAcentral.